This is a long non-coding RNA of Oryzias melastigma (Indian medaka), 1035 nucleotides long. RefSeq lists it as uncharacterized. The record is from RefSeq and is a predicted model, not a curated record. NCBI's taxonomy places the organism in Eukaryota, Metazoa, Chordata, Actinopteri, Beloniformes, Adrianichthyidae. The transcript is spliced from 3 exons.
UGAAAAUAUCCGCUUCAUCAACAGGAAGGAGGCAGGAGGAGAACGCCGCGAGAAAAACAGCAGCCCGGAGAGAAAACAGACGAGAGGAACGGUGGCUGGACCGGGACAGAACAUACCCGAGUGGAUCUCUCUGCCACGCCUGAUUAGGACUUCCUGUUAAGUUCCCGCCCCCUCGACCUCGCUGUUCCUCUCCAGGAGUUGAUGCAACGCGGUCCUGACAGUCGCUGUCGGAGGUCCAGGACACGGUGGAGCCGAGGAUCAAGCGCUGCCGGAGGAAGAAACUCUCAGAGAUUUACAUCAGAGGAGGGUUCUGUUAUAUGGUCGGAUUGGUCCAAGAACGCGAGCGGGACUCAUCCAGGUCAUCCAGGUCAUCCAGGUCGCCCAGGUCAUCCAGGAGGGCAGCCGCCGCUAAUAAGAUGCUAAACGCUACGACGGCGGCAGCGACUGUGUGAUGUUAAAGCAGUCCUACGGAGCCCCCGGGCCGCCGGGAAGCAUCGCAGACUCACUUCUUCAUAAUUAGGAAUUCAUCAGGAGACCCGUUUGAACGUAAGAGGACUUCCUUUCAGUGCUGAGCCACAGGUUCACGGAGCGGGCGUGCACGGUGAGGAAGAGCAGCGUGGAACGAGGCUGCAGGCGCAUGCACAUGCAGAGUGCAUGCACAUGUGCAUCUUUAAAUCAGAGGCUGCAAGAAAGCAUGGUGGACUCUCAAACAUGAUUUGUGUCCUUCAUCCCUCAGAAGGGGAAGGAUAUGACCGGGAGGAGGUCUCACUCCGAUCACUUUUCGAGAUUCUGUUACAAUAAAACAAUUUAAAGGAUUUUUUUGUAUUCACCAAACUCACCAAGACGCCGGAACUCACAGAUGCUUCAAACAACUUUGUAUUUUUCACACCAAUUUAGACAAAAUAAAAAAAUGUUUUAUAAUAAGGUGGAAAUCUCAGAUUUCUCAGUGUGGUUCUGUUACAUCUUGAUUCAUGCUCUUAUUUUUGCAUUUUUUUCCUCCUUUUCUUCAUCAGUUCUGUCAACUUUGUUUGGAAA